UGGGGAAUAUUGCACAAUGGGGGAAACCCUGAUGCAGCGACGCCGCGUGAGUGAAGAAGUAUUUCGGUAUGUAAAGCUCUAUCAGCAGGGAAGAAAAUGACGGUACCUGACUAAGAAGCCCCGGCUAACUACGUGCCAGCAGCCGCGGUAAUACGUAGGGGGCAAGCGUUAUCCGGAUUUACUGGGUGUAAAGGGAGCGUAGACGGCCAGACAAGUCAGAAGUGAAAGCCCAGGGCUCAACCCUGGGACUGCUUUUGAAACUGCCGGGCUGGAGUGCAGGAGAGGUAAGCGGAAUUCCUAGUGUAGCGGUGAAAUGCGUAGAUAUUAGGAGGAACACCAGUGGCGAAGGCGGCUUACUGGACUGUAACUGACGUUGAGGCUCGAAAGCGUGGGGAGCAAACA
This 402-nucleotide ribosomal RNA is filed under the name uncultured bacterium. RNAcentral's name for it is "bacterial SSU rRNA". It matches the Rfam family "Bacterial small subunit ribosomal RNA", at positions 355 to 774 of the family's 1533-position model. The record is from RNAcentral. RNAcentral also lists the same sequence under 1 other name.